This is a long non-coding RNA of Sorex fumeus (smoky shrew), 488 nucleotides long. RefSeq lists it as uncharacterized. Lineage: Eukaryota; Metazoa; Chordata; Mammalia; Eulipotyphla; Soricidae. The record is from RefSeq and is a predicted model, not a curated record. The transcript is spliced from 4 exons.
CGCCUGUAUAUGUGGGGCUUGGGGGCUCUGUGCCUUUGCUGUGUGUUUGCAAGGUCGUUGAUGACCUUCUCUGGGUGUUGGUCCUCAUAUCUGGAUUCUCUCCUUGAGUGGGAAUCCCAGACGAGGCCGGCGAGGCUCAAAGCUCAACUACUGGUGGUGGCGAAGAGGCAAAGGAGAGAGGAAGGGAGGCUUGAGUGAAGUCUUGUGAGUCUUUGGCAGCCUGGAGGCACCAAGAUGAAUGGAAAUACCCUGGAAAAGGAAUCUCUAGCUCCUACUUCUCCCAUUUCAUCGAAGGCCUGUGAGCACCUUCUACUGCCCCUACAGUGAUACAGGGCCUCCCUCCUCCCUCCAAGUCCUUGUCAUCAUAUAGGACCUAUCGAGAUAAUCCAGGACAAUAUCCUCAUCUUGAGGUCAGCUGAUCAAACUGAAUUCCACCAUAGUUUCCUUAAUUAUGUAACCUGACACAUUCAUGGAUUUUAGCAUUUAAG